CAUGCAAGUCGUGGGGCAGCGCGGACUUCGGUCUGGCGGCGACCGGCAAACGGGUGCGGAACACGUACACAACCUUCCUUUAAAUGAGGGAUAGCCCACCGAAAGGUGGAUUAAUACCUCGUAACAUAUUUAAGUGGCAUCAUUUAGAUAUUAUAGCUCCGGCGUUUAAAGAUGGGUGUGCGUAUGAUUAGGUAGUUGGCGGGGUAACGGCCCACCAAGCCUACGAUCAUUAGCUGAUGUGAGAGCAUGAUCAGCCACACGGGCACUGAGACACGGGCCCGACUCCUACGGGAGGCAGCAGUAAGGAAUAUUGGUCAAUGGACGCAAGUCUGAACCAGCCAUGCCGCGUGAAGGAUGAAGGUCCUCUGGAUUGUAAACUUCUUUUAUUUGGGACGAAAAAAGAUCAUUCUUGAUCACUUGACGGUACCAUUUGAAUAAGCACCGGCUAACUCCGUGCCAGCAGCCGCGGUAAUACGGAGGGUGCAAGCGUUAUCCGGAUUCACUGGGUUUAAAGGGUGCGUAGGCGGACAAUUAAGUCAGUGGUGAAAUCUCGGAGCUUAACUCCGAAACUGCCAUUGAUACUAUUUGUCUUGAAUUUUCUGGAAGUCAGCGGAAUAUGUCAUGUAGCGGUGAAAUGCUUAGAUAUGACAUAGAACACCGAUAGCGAAGGCAGCUGACUACGGAACGAUUGACGCUGAGG
RNAcentral lists this ribosomal RNA (700 nucleotides) under uncultured bacterium. Its description in RNAcentral is "bacterial SSU rRNA". It matches the Rfam family "Bacterial small subunit ribosomal RNA", at positions 54 to 751 of the family's 1533-position model. The record is from RNAcentral.